RNAcentral lists this transfer RNA (87 nucleotides) under Glonium stellatum. Its description in RNAcentral is "tRNA-Tyr". Lineage: Eukaryota; Fungi; Ascomycota; Dothideomycetes; Gloniales; Gloniaceae. The record is from RNAcentral.
CUCCGCUUGGUGUAGUUGGUUUAUCACGUUCGGCUGUAAUUGUAUCUUGCCACCGAAAGGUCCCUAGUUCGAUUCUGGGAGCGGAGA